Molecule: long non-coding RNA, 361 nt
Filed under: Homo sapiens (human)
Lineage: Eukaryota; Metazoa; Chordata; Mammalia; Primates; Hominidae
Description: non-protein coding lnc-CLEC3B-3:1
Source: RNAcentral
AAACAACUUUAGAAGACACCUGUGUGUCCCUCCCUGCUUGCAUCUAGCUUCUUCGUCUGCCCAGGUGGACUGCUCUUACCGUUGCAAAUCUGGGAGCACUCAGUUGUGGAACCCAGCCACCAUGUUGUGAAGAAGCCCUGUGCAGUGGUCCAAGUGACCAGGAGUCAAAGCUCCCAGCCAAUAGCCAGCACUAACUUGUCAGCAGUGUCAUGGAGCCCACUUGAAAGAGGAUUCUAAUUAUGCUGCCCAAGCUGUGGCCACAUGGAGGAGAGAUAUACAGUCCCUGCUGAACCCUGCUCUAAUUACAGGUUUGUGAGCAAAACUACUAAUUGUUAACUAAAUUUUGGGGUGGCUCAUUACA